GGAGAGAUGGCUGAGUGGACUA
This 22-nucleotide microRNA is filed under the name Prunus persica (peach). RNAcentral's name for it is "microRNA miRNA_119". Lineage: Eukaryota; Viridiplantae; Streptophyta; Magnoliopsida; Rosales; Rosaceae. The record is from RNAcentral.